Molecule: ribosomal RNA, 534 nt
Filed under: Arsenophonus endosymbiont of Bemisia tabaci
Lineage: Bacteria; Pseudomonadati; Pseudomonadota; Gammaproteobacteria; Enterobacterales; Morganellaceae
Description: partial 23S ribosomal RNA
Rfam family: Bacterial large subunit ribosomal RNA
Source: RNAcentral
CGAGGCGAACCGGGGAAACUGAAACAUCUCAGUACCCCGAGAAAAAGAAAUCAACCGAGAUUCCCCCAGUAGCGGCGAGCAAACGGGGAGCAACCCAGAGUCAACAUCAAUAUUUACCACAGGAGAAGGGUCUGGAAAAGCCGGCAAUAAAGGGUGAUAGCCCCGUAUCUAAAGCGGUAAGUGUUGUGAACUCGAAGAGUAGGGCGGGACACGUGUUAUCCUGUCUGAAUAUGGGGGGACCAUCCUCCAAGGCUAAAUACUCCUGACUGACCGAUAGUGAACCAGUACCGUGAGGGAAAGGCGAAAAGAACCCCGGCGAGGGGAGUGAAAUAGAACCUAAAACCGUGUACGUACAAGCAGUAGGAGCACCCGAAAGGGUGUGACUGCGUACCUUUUGUAUAAUGAGUCAGCGACUUAUAUUCUGUAGCAAGGUUAACCGCAUAGGGGAGCCGUAGGGAAACCGAGUCUUAACUGGGCGUUAAGUUGCAGGGUAUAGACCCGAAACCCGGUGAUCUAGCCAUAAGCAGGUUGAAG